RNAcentral lists this ribosomal RNA (492 nucleotides) under uncultured bacterium. RNAcentral describes it as "partial 16S ribosomal RNA". It matches the Rfam family "Bacterial small subunit ribosomal RNA", at positions 29 to 507 of the family's 1533-position model. The record is from RNAcentral.
AGUGAACGCUGGCGGUAGGCCUAACACAUGCAAGUCGAACGGCAGCACAGUAAGAGCUUGCUCUUACGGGUGGCGAGUGGCGGACGGGUGAGGAAUACAUCGGAAUCUACUUUUUCGUGGGGGAUAACGUAGGGAAACUUACGCUAAUACCGCAUACGACCUACGGGUGAAAGCAGGGGAUCUUCGGACCUUGCGCGAUUGAAUGAGCCGAUGUUGGAUUAGCUAGUUGGCGGGGUAAAGGCCCACCAAGGCGACGAUCCGUAGCUGGUCUGAGAGGAUGAUCGCCCACAUUGGAGCUGAGACACGGUCCAGACUCCUACGGGAGGCAGCAGUGGGGAAUAUUAGGCAAUGGGCGCAAGCCUGAUCCAGCCAUACCGCGUGGGUGAAGAAGGCCUUCGGGUUGUAAAGCCCUUUUGUUGGGAAAGAAAAGCAGCAGGUUAAUACCCCGCUGUUCUGACGGUACCCAAAGAAUAAGCACCGGCUAACUUCGUG